GAUGAAGAACGCAGCGAAAUGCGAUAAGUAGUGUGAAUUGCAGAAUUCAGUGAAUCAUCGAAUCUUUGAACGCACAUUGCGGCCAUAGGUAUUCCUUUGGCCAUGCCUGUUCGAGCGUCAUUUACACCCUCAAGCCUAGCUUGGUGUUGGGCGUCUGUCCCGCCGUUCUCGCGCGCGGACUCGCCUCAAAGUCAUUGGCGGCGGUCGUGCCGGCCCCCUCGCGCAGCACAUUUGCGCUUCUCGGAGGCCCGGCGGAUCCGCGCUCCAGCAAGACCUUUCACGACUUGACUUCGGAUCAGGUAGGGAUACCCGCUGAACUUAAGCAUAUCAAUAAGCGGAGGA
This 342-nucleotide unclassified non-coding RNA is filed under the name soil metagenome. RNAcentral's name for it is "partial contains 5.8S ribosomal RNA, internal transcribed spacer 2, and large subunit ribosomal RNA". The stretch from base 1 to 120 matches the Rfam family "5.8S ribosomal RNA", at positions 35 to 154 of the family's 154-position model. The record is from RNAcentral.